This 1402-nucleotide ribosomal RNA is filed under the name uncultured euryarchaeote. RNAcentral describes it as "bacterial SSU rRNA". It matches the Rfam family "Archaeal small subunit ribosomal RNA". Lineage: Archaea; Methanobacteriati; Methanobacteriota. The record is from RNAcentral.
UUCCGGUUGAUCCUGCCGGAGAUCACCGUUAUUAGGAUUCGAUUUAGCCAUGCGAGGCGCGAGCUAUUUGGGCUCGCCGAACUGCUCAGUAACACGUAGUUAACAUGCCCUCAAGUUGAGGAUAAUCUUGCGAAAGUGAGGCUAAUACUCUAUAGCUGUCAAGUGCUGGAAUGCUUUGACAGUUAAAGCUACGGCGCUUGAGGAUUGGACUGCGACCUAUCAUGGCUGUUGUGAGUAUAAAGUACUCACAAACCUGUAACGGGUAGGGGUCAUGAGAGUGAGAGCCUCGAGAUGCUUUCUGAGACAUGAAAGCAGGUCCUACGGGACGCAGCAGGCGCGAAAACUUUCCAAUUCCUGAAAUGGUGAGAAGGGAAUCCUGAGUGAUUAUGUUUAACAUAAUCUUUUAUUUUGUUUAAAAAGCAAGAUGAAUAAGUGGUGGGUAAGACGGGUGGCAGCCGCCGCGGUAAUACCCGCGCCACAAAUGGUGAUCGCGAUUAUUGGGUCUAAAGGGUCCGUAGCCGGUUCAACAAGUUCUUGGUGAAAUCUGCUAGCUAACUAACAGGCUUGCUGAGAAUACUAUUGAGCUUGGGAUUGGGAGAGGAUAGGGGUAUUCCAUGUGUAGGGGUUAAAUCCUUUAAUCCAUGGAAGACCUCCGGUGGCGAAGGCGCCUAUCUGGAACAAGUCCGACGGUGAGGGACAAAAGCGUGGGGAGCAAACGGGAUUAGAUACAAACUUUCUAAUCCUAUGAUUUCAAAGAUGAUUGGAGGUUUGCUAGAAACCCCGAUAGUCCAUGCUGUAAACGAUGCCCGCUUGUUGUUGCAAGCUCUACGAGAGCUUGCAGCGUCGGAGCGUAGGUGUUAAGCGGGCCACCUGGGGAGUACGGCCGCAAGGUUGAAACUUAAGGGAAUUGGCGGGAGAGCACACAAGGGGUGGAGGCUGCGGUUUAAUUGGAUUAAACGCCGAACAUCUCACAAGGGUUGACAGCAGAAUGAAGGUCAGCCUAACGGGUUUACCAGACAAGCUGAGAGGUGUUGCAUGGCCAUCGUCAGCUCGUACCUUGAGGCGUGCGGUCAAGUCCGUUAACGAGCGAGACCCAUGCUACCAUUUGAUAUCAUAUUUUCAGAUAAUAUCAAAAAAGUAUGAGCACUAUGGUAGGACCGCUGGUGAUAAACCAGAGGAAGGAGUGGGCGACGGUAGGUCCGUAUGGCCCGGAUACCCUUGGCUACACGCGGCCUACAAUGGUUGGGACAAUGUGUUGCAACGCCGAAAGGCGAAGCCAAUCACCUAAACCCAACCUCAGUUCAGAUUGAGGGCUGUAACUCGCCCUCAUGAAGCCGGAAUCCCUAGUAAGCGAACGUCAUAAUCGUUUGCUGAAUACGUCCCUGCUCCUUGCACACACCGC